Molecule: ribosomal RNA, 393 nt
Filed under: uncultured bacterium
Lineage: Bacteria
Description: bacterial SSU rRNA
Rfam family: Bacterial small subunit ribosomal RNA
Source: RNAcentral
CAAGGCUUGACAUACACCGGAAAACCGUAGAGAUACGGUCCCCCUUGUGGUCGGUGUACAGGUGGUGCAUGGUUGUCGUCAGCUCGUGUCGUGAGAUGUUGGGUUAAGUCCCGCAACAAGCGCAACCCUCGUUCUGUGUUGCCAGCGGGUUAUGCCGGGGACUCACAGGAGACUGCCGGGGUCAACUCGGAGGAAGGUGGGGAUGACGUCAAAUCAUCAUGCCCCUUAUGUCUUGGGCUGCACACGUGCUACAAUGGCCGGUACAAAGAGCUGCGAUGCCGUGAGGCGGAGCGAAUCUCAAAAAGCCGGUCUCAGUUCGGAUUGGGGUCUGCAACUCGACCCCAUGAAGUCGGAGUUGCUAGUAAUCGCAGAUCAGCAUUGCUGCGGUGAAUA